AGUCAAUGCUGAGAACAGGAAAAAGAAAAAAUAUGAUCAUACAGGGGGUUCACGUCCCUUCCUAAAACACAUGGAAGCUGCUGUAGAGGUUAUAAUUUUCCUUUCAUUUUAAUCUUGUUUUUUUCUUUUAAAUUUAUAACUGCAAGUAUUUCUCAUUUUAUUUUUGGUUGGGAAUAUGUAGAAGGGUGAAAAUCCUACAUACAUUAGCAACUGGAACACCUUGCAUAUGUAUAAGGAUAAGGCCGUGUGGAUCAAUGAGGCGGCUGAAAGUAAAGGGAAGAAAAUGAUGGAAGAUUAUGAGAAGGCCAAGCAAGAAUUGGCAGAGAGUUCAAGAACUGAACUAGAUCAUAUCACGGUCUCUAAACAACAGCAAUUAGAGAUCAUGACUGCAGAACUUGGGGUUGCAAAGGGAAGAAGGAUACGAGGCUUGGGCUCUAAUCUGCGAGUGGAGAGUUCACGUGAUCGAACUACUGCUACUUCCUCUUUGGCUACAGAGCAAAAGGUGGAGGAGCUUCAGGGCACAGUUGGUGAGUUGAAGGGCACAGUGAGUGAGCUUCAGGGCACAGUUGGUAAACUUUUGGGUGUUAUUGAAUGGAUGCGAACCCAUGUGGGUGCUCUGCCCCCAGAUAUGGAUAUGGGUGUUCCUCCUCAGCAUGUUGGUGAUCCAACCUAUAGUGAUGAUGAUGAUGACAAUAUUAGUUUGGGUCACUAGUUUUUGGUUUUACUGAAUUGUCUUGAUGAUAUAGGCUUUGGCUAGUUUUUGGUUUUACUGAAUUGUCUUGAUGAUAUAGGCUUUGGCUAGUUUUUGGUUUU
Prunus avium (sweet cherry) is the source of this 813-nucleotide non-coding RNA. The record is from RefSeq and is a predicted model, not a curated record. NCBI's taxonomy places the organism in Eukaryota, Viridiplantae, Streptophyta, Magnoliopsida, Rosales, Rosaceae.